CCUACGGGUGGCUGCAGUGAGGAAUAUUGGGCAAUGGGCGGAAGCCUGAACCAGCCAAGCAGCGUGCAGGAUGACGGCCCUCCGGGUUGUAAACUGCUUCUAUACGGGAAUAACGCGCCUUUCGUGUACGGCGUUGCAUGUACCGUAUGAGUAAGGACCGGCUCAUUCCGUGCCAGCAGCCGCGGUAAGACGGAAGGUACGGGCGUUAUCCGGAUUUAUUGGGGUUAAAGGGAGCGUAGGCGGCAUGUCAAGCGUGCUGUGAAAUGCCCGGGCUCAACCCGGGCCUUGCAGCGCGAACUGGCGUGCUUGAGUCCGCGAGAGGCAGGCGGAAUUCGUGGUGUAGCGGUGAAAUGCUUAGAUAUGACGAGGAACCCCGAUUGCGAAGGCAGCUUGCUGCAGCGGAACUGACGCUGAGGCUCGAAAGCGCGGGUAUCGAACAGGAUUAGAUACCCCAGUAGUC
RNAcentral lists this ribosomal RNA (460 nucleotides) under uncultured bacterium. RNAcentral's name for it is "partial 16S ribosomal RNA". It matches the Rfam family "Bacterial small subunit ribosomal RNA", at positions 338 to 795 of the family's 1533-position model. The record is from RNAcentral.